Long non-coding RNA from Carassius auratus (goldfish), 1261 nucleotides. RefSeq lists it as uncharacterized. The record is from RefSeq and is a predicted model, not a curated record. NCBI's taxonomy places the organism in Eukaryota, Metazoa, Chordata, Actinopteri, Cypriniformes, Cyprinidae. The transcript is spliced from 3 exons.
CCCGUGACCUGAGGUCAUCGCUCAGGAAACACUCAUCUGACGUGGAACUAUUGUGUGUGUGUCUCACAGGAGGAAAUAGUUCCCGAGCGCCGCACGUUUCCAGGGGGAACCUUUAUAGGGGGCGGCACCUGAGCGGGUCAGAGGUCACGUCAGUCUGUGACUGUGAAGAAUGACGGGCUAUAAACGAGCCGCUGAUUAAAUGUGACACAAAGCUCACAGUCGUCACCAGGGCUGUCUGAAGCGAGCGAGUCUGUGAGGAACCAGGAUCUGUGUUCAGUCUGCUGAGUGACGUCUGAGGGGCGGGGCGUCGCUCACGGCAACCUGUGGCUAUGUGUGACAUCACAGCGAUGCUCCUUAAAGGGCCGGCGAAGCACCUGCUCCGACAGAGACCCGUCCUGAAGCCUACAGGACAGAAUCAUAACACUGGACUGCUAGCUGGUUAGAUUUCUCUCGAACAAGGAUGUUUUUUUCAUCUCCUCUGAACUUCGGCUCCUCUCUUCAUCUCACUCGCCUCCUGCUCCUCAUCAUCGCUGUGGCAACACAGGUGGAGGGACGGCCGUCACCACGGCGACCAGACACUCAGGUUCUGCAGGAUCUGUUCGGGCUGAAGAUCAGCUCUCUGGUACUGGCUCACCCAGAGGUCAGUGAGGGGUCAGCAGAUGAAGCCCCGCCCCUCUCACAGCCGCGUCAUGCUAACGCCGCUCCGUCACGCGUGUUCCUGGAGCUGCUGGGCCGUCACAGGAAGCUGCAGGGGCGGAGCAGGAAGGGCGUGGCGCGCGGCUGCUUCGGGAUGAAGGUGGACCGGAUCGGGGUCAUCAGUGGACUGGGAUGCUGACGCUCUCAGGUGAUCGAGACCUUCACCUGAGCAUCACAGAUCCAGCUCUUCUCCUGAUGUGUGUGUUGACUGUCCGAUCAUUGUUCCUGUCCAGACGGAUGCGACGAGACCGACUCUGCAGAACACACACCUUCAUGUGUUUGUCUUCUAAAGAUCCUGAGGUCUUCUCAGCAGUGUGUGUGUGUGUGUGUGUGUGUGUGUGUCUCUCUCUCUCUCUCUCUCUCUGUGUGUGUGUGUCUCUCUCUGUGUGUGUGUGUGUGUGUGUGUGUGUGACCUCUGGCUGAUUGUCCGGUCAGUUUUGUCUUCUGUGUCUGACGUGACAGAGCUUCUGUUCAGUUUGUGAGUGGGAACUUUUUCUCAAUAUUUAACACAAGUUUAAACUUGUUUGUGUGUCCUCCAUAAAUAUUAUUUAACAUCUAAAUCUGA